GUGUCACUAUGUAAUCACUAUUGAGUCAAUAAGAAAGAUAACAUAAUCAGGGUAUCCUGAUCCAUUAAUGUUCCCUAUGAUUGUGGGUGUAUGCACAAGUUUACUGUAAUAAAAUUUAGUUCUCGUUUGAUAAAUCUCUGAAAUAAUUCUUGAUUUUCCCCACUAUUUUCAGGCAGAAAAACAUCAUUUUGCCUAAUUUAAAUCAAUGCUGAAAGUGCCACAGAUGGCUCCAGAAUGCACCACAGAGCAUCUAAGUUUCAAAAAAAAUUUGGGGGAGGACCCCUAAACCCCCCUCAAUGGGAGGAGGACACCUACGGCGUUUGUCAAAACCAGGAAUUUAGAAAUCAUUACUCUUUGGCUUCAUUGAAUGUUGGCAUGUCUGCAACAUAGAUAUUUGUUGUAUGCACGAGGUCUAUAUACAUGGAGUUCAGCAACUAUAUUUAAAAUACAGUGUUGUUAUCUGAUGGGUGGCAGACCGUUACCUUCAUGUUAAUUACAAUUGUAAGAGCGGAAGGCAUGAAAUAGUAUUUGCUAUCCCGUAGAGCUUACAAUGACUAUGUCCGUGAUGUGUUGGAUCGGCUGCUACAGCACUCAUUCACACCAGAUGUCGUGUUUGUCAACAGUGGUGUGUGGGACCUGACAAGCAAAGGAUAUUCGAGAUGUACAAAGGCAAGAUCCACAAGUUCUUCUCCCGUGGUGCAACAUUGGGCAGCCCCGUACCGACCGACAUCCUGUUCGUGUUUGAGGUUCUAUCGGAGGCGCUGGCAUAUAUGCAGAUUGCCGACUCGUACGGCUGUGACAUGCAUACAUACUACCUCCGGCGUGACGAGGAGGAGGCUCUUCUGCCGUGAAGAAGACAACACGACUCAUGGUUGCGAGAAUGUUAAAUGGCGUGGCUGUUGUUGUUUCGGUGAAUUUUAAACAUAAAAUCUAAGAAUUAAACCAAUUUUCACUUGGUCAUAUUAUUGCUAUGUUUGAGGUGGGCGUGUAUAAUAAUACACACAAUCGAUAUAUAAUAUACUAUUUAAAUGUAACACGAAUGCUAUGUAAAUAAAUUGUUGGUGUAUUAUUAAAACAUG
Molecule: long non-coding RNA, 1079 nt
Organism: Priapulus caudatus
Lineage: Eukaryota; Metazoa; Priapulida; Priapulimorpha; Priapulimorphida; Priapulidae
Exons: 3
Source: RefSeq, a predicted model, not a curated record